GCGAACGGGUGAGUAAUGCUUAGGAAUCUGCCUAUUAGUGGGGGACAACAUUCCGAAAGGAAUGCUAAUACCGCAUACGUCCUACGGGAGAAAGCAGGGGAUCGUUUGACCUUGCGCUAAUAGAUGAGCCUAAGUCGGAUUAGCUAGUUGGUGGGGUAAAGGCCUACCAAGGCGACGAUCUGUAGCUGGUCUGAGAGGAUGAUCAGCCACACUGGGACUGAGACACGGCCCAGACUCCUACGGGAGGCAGCAGUGGGGAAUAUUGGACAAUGGGCGAAAGCCUGAUCCAGCCAUGCCGCGUGUGUGAAGAAGGCCUUUUGGUUGUAAAGCACUUUAAGUGGGGAGGAAAAGCUAAUAAUUAAUACCUAUUAGCCCUGACGUUACCCACAGAAUAAGCACCGGCUAACUCUGUGCCAGCAGCCGCGGUAAUACAGAGGGUGCAAGCGUUAAUCGGAAUUACUGGGCGUAAAGCGAGCGUAGGUGGUUACUUAAGUCAGAUGUGAAAGCCCUGGGCUUAACCU
Molecule: ribosomal RNA, 521 nt
Filed under: Moraxella sp.
Lineage: Bacteria; Pseudomonadati; Pseudomonadota; Gammaproteobacteria; Moraxellales; Moraxellaceae
Description: bacterial SSU rRNA
Rfam family: Bacterial small subunit ribosomal RNA
Source: RNAcentral